Molecule: ribosomal RNA, 478 nt
Filed under: uncultured bacterium
Lineage: Bacteria
Description: partial 16S ribosomal RNA
Rfam family: Bacterial small subunit ribosomal RNA
Source: RNAcentral
AAUCAACGCUGGCGGCGUGCCUAACACAUGCAAGUCGAACGAGAAAGUGGAGCAAUCCAUGAGUACAGUGGCGAACGGGUGAGUAACACGUGACUAACCUACCUUCCAGUGGGGGAUAACCUCGGGAAACCGGGGCUAAGACCGCAUAACCUCGUGAGGUGAGAUUCCUUGCGAGCAAAGGGGUAAGACGCUGGAUGAGGGGGUCGCGGCCGAUUAGCUAGUUGGCGGGGUAACGGCCCACCAAGGCGAUGAUCGGUAGCCGGCCUGAGAGGGCGCACGGCCACACUGGAACUGAAACACGGUCCAGACUCCUACGGGAGGCAGCAGGGGGGAAUCUUGCACAAUGGGGGAAACCCUGAUGCAGCAACGCCGCGUGGAGGAUGAAGUCCCUUGGGACGUAAACUCCUUUCGACCGGGACGAUAGUGACGGUACCGGUGGAAGAAGCCCCGGCUAACUCCGUGCCAGCCGCCGCCGUAA